GAUGAACGCUAGCGGCAGGCUUAACACAUGCAAGUCGAGGGGCAGCACGUCUUCGGAUGGUGGCGACCGGCGCACGGGUGAGUAACGCGUAUGCAAUCUACCUUUUACAGGGGCAUAGCCCGGGGAAUCCCGGAUUAAUAUCCUAUAGUACCAUUAUAUAGCAUUAUAUUAUGGUUAAAGUUUCGGCGGUAAAAGAUGAGCAUGCGUCCUAUUAGCUUGAUGGUAAGGUAUCGGCUUACCAUGGCUAUGAUAGGUAGGGGUCCUGAGAGGGAGACCCCCCACACUGGUACUGAGACACGGACCAGACUCCUACGGGAGGCAGCAGUGAGGAAUAUUGGACAAUGGGCGCAAGCCUGAUCCAGCCAUGCCGCGUGCAGGAAGACGGCCCUAUGGGUUGUAAACUGCUUUUAUACGGGAAGAAACACCCCUUCGUGAAGGGACUUGACGGUACCGUAUGAAUAAGGAUCGGCUAACUCCGUGCCAGCAGCCGCGGUAAUACGGG
This 502-nucleotide ribosomal RNA is filed under the name uncultured bacterium. Its description in RNAcentral is "bacterial SSU rRNA". It matches the Rfam family "Bacterial small subunit ribosomal RNA", at positions 28 to 529 of the family's 1533-position model. The record is from RNAcentral.